UCCAGUCUCCCCUCCUCUAUUCUCUCAUGUACAUUGCCUAAACCUCUCAGAGUUUCAUCAUAACAAUGACAGCAUUGCCUCCAUCAUGACCACAAGUAUUUUAAUCUUCCCUCUUAAUUCUAUCUAUUUAAAGUCCCCUUCUUAUUUACUUUUGUGGACUGCUUGGUUCCAAAACAGUGCCUAGAAAAAGUAAAGGUGCAUAAAGCUCAGGAGGAAAAGUUGGUGAAGAGACUUCAAGGAGAAAAGUGUACAGAACUAAAAUUGUGGAUACUAUUGGCAUAUGGAUUUGCACCUCUUCACUGAACUCAAAGGACACUCCAUUCUCCUGGAGAGGUGGAGGUGCCUGCUCUUACCAGCUGAGUUCUGCUCUAUCCGCAAUGGUGGCUAGAGUGCCAUAUUCAAGAAGGUAAGAAGCACAGAAGAGCUAGCAGGAGGGCUGCUCUGCACGUGCAUAGGAGGAACAGGAGCAGGUUCACACCUAGGUGAAGAACUUCCCCAGGUCCUUGUGCUUCUCUGUCCUACUAGACAUCUGGGGCCUUGUGAUUCUUGUCAAAAUCUGUGAGAGUUUGCUCACACAGGCCCUGCACACUCUCCUCUGUGAGGAGGGUCUCACACCUACACCGAGGGUCAGGUAAAAAGACUGUCUAGGAGCCCCACUUCCAGUGAGCCCAGCUAGAUAGCUCACUUUCACAGAACCAAACUUUUCACUGUUGGGUAGUUAAGUGAGUUUCUUCAAAGAGCCUCUACAUUGCUAUUUCGGAAACUGCUUAAUUUUAAGUAAUUCAGUUCCUAAAUUUCAUUUAAUAGAGAACAUAUUUCAUGCUCGAAUCUAAAUUGCAUAUCAAUAAGUCAUAGUCUGUUUCCUGCCCACCCCAGGAUUUCAUUAUCUAUAAGUUUUAUCACUGGGACCAUUUCCAAACACGAACCAAAGAGUUUUUAUUAUUAGUAGGGCUGAGCAUCAUUUUGUGUUUGCUGGUUUUCUUUUUAGUCAUUGUGAUUCU
Long non-coding RNA from Callithrix jacchus (white-tufted-ear marmoset), 1001 nucleotides. RefSeq lists it as uncharacterized. Lineage: Eukaryota; Metazoa; Chordata; Mammalia; Primates; Cebidae. The record is from RefSeq and is a predicted model, not a curated record.